AUUGAACGCUGGCGGCAUGCCUUACACAUGCAAGUCGAACGGCAGCACGGGACCUUGCUCCUGGUGGCGAGUGGCGAACGGGUGAGUAAUACAUCGGAACGUACCCUGAAGUGGGGGGAUAACGUAGCGAAAGUUACGCUAAUACCGCAUAUUCUGUGAGCAGGAAAAAGGGGGAUCGCAAGACCUCUUGCUUUAGGAGCGGCCGAUGUCGGAUUAGCUAGUUGGUGAGGUAAAGGCUCACCAAGGCGACGAUCCGUAGCGGGUCUGAGAGGAUGAUCCGCCACACUGGGACUGAGACACGGCCCAGACUCCUACGGGAGGCAGCAGUGGGGAAUUUUGGACAAUGGGCGCAAGCCUGAUCCAGCCAUGCCGCGUGAGUGAAGAAGGCCUCGG
RNAcentral lists this ribosomal RNA (393 nucleotides) under uncultured bacterium. RNAcentral describes it as "bacterial SSU rRNA". It matches the Rfam family "Bacterial small subunit ribosomal RNA", at positions 30 to 420 of the family's 1533-position model. The record is from RNAcentral.